ACUUUUCCAUGAUGACAUAAGUUAUCCCUGUAUGAAGGCAAAGAAAGGCCUCUCUGUGUAGAUGUUGGAUGUCUGAAACUCAG
This 83-nucleotide small nucleolar RNA is filed under the name Myotis lucifugus (little brown bat). RNAcentral's name for it is "Small nucleolar RNA R38 (ENSMLUG00000021180.1)". Lineage: Eukaryota; Metazoa; Chordata; Mammalia; Chiroptera; Vespertilionidae. The record is from RNAcentral.